AUGCCUGCUGAGACGGUAUCUGAGGAUACCAUUAGAAGUGCCACCCCUGGUUCUGUAAGGCAGCAGAGGGUAGUUCACGCACCCCCUGUGGAUGACUAUGAGCCCGAAGUCAAGGCCACAAAGGAGCAGAACCAUUUGUAUGAUAUUGUCAAGCGAUUUGGAAAUGCGAGGUCCAACAACAAGCACAUGAAGGAGCUGAAAGCAACCAAUGUCAUACAAUGCGAUGCGACAUACGUUGACUUGGGUGAUCUUGCCGAGUCCGUGAGGCCAUUCGGUAAAAUGUCGACGAAUGUAGUUGCAUGUGGGAUUGACUUCAUCAACAGGCAUACGGAUAUGUCUCCCGACAAAACAAUCAUGCAUUACAGCGUGACCUGCAAAAUAUGGGAUGGUGACUUCCACCACAAAAUCCUGAGUAAGCAUUUUGCUGCGCACGGUGAAUUCAAGCUCACAAUGAAGAAAUGUGUGAGUACUCCUUCCUUUUUUGCACAUUUUUUCCUCCCAUGA
This 504-nucleotide ribosomal RNA is filed under the name Triticum aestivum (bread wheat). RNAcentral's name for it is "partial small subunit ribosomal RNA". The record is from RNAcentral. Lineage: Eukaryota; Viridiplantae; Streptophyta; Magnoliopsida; Poales; Poaceae.